RNAcentral lists this ribosomal RNA (446 nucleotides) under uncultured bacterium. RNAcentral's name for it is "partial 16S ribosomal RNA". It matches the Rfam family "Bacterial small subunit ribosomal RNA", at positions 338 to 795 of the family's 1533-position model. The record is from RNAcentral.
CCUACGUGAGGCAGCAGUCGAGAAUAAUUCACAAUGGGGUAAAGCCUGAUGGUGCGACGCCGCGUGGGGGAAUAAAGGUCUUCGGAUUGUAAACCCCUGUCAUGUGGGAGCAAAUCAAAAAGAUAGUACCACAAGAGGAAGAGACGGCUAACUCUGUGCCAGCAGCCGCGGUAAUACAGAGGUCUCAAGCGUUGUUCGGAAUUACUGGGCGUAAAGCGUGCGGAGGCUGUUUCGCAAGGCGUGUGUGAAAGGCGCGGGCUCAACCCGCGGACGGCACAUGAUACUGCGAGACUAGAGUAAGGGAGGGGGAACCGGAAUUCGCGGUGUAGCAGUGAAAUGCGUAGAUAUCGAGAGGAACACUCGUGGCGAAGGCGGGUUCCUGGACAUUAACUGACGCUGAGGCACGAAGGCCAGGGGAGCGAAAGGGAUUAGAUACCCUUGUAGUC